RNAcentral lists this ribosomal RNA (492 nucleotides) under uncultured bacterium. RNAcentral describes it as "partial 16S ribosomal RNA". It matches the Rfam family "Bacterial small subunit ribosomal RNA", at positions 29 to 507 of the family's 1533-position model. The record is from RNAcentral.
AAUGAACGCUGGCGGCAUGCCUAAUACAUGCAAGUCGAACGGACGCACAGUAAGCUUGCGUUUCUACUGUUGGCGGCUGACGGACGGGUGACGCAUACAUCACCAUCCUCUUAUUCUUGGGUAAUUUCGUGGAGCCAGUUCUACUACUAGAUAAUAUUUUGUACCGCUUAGUUCAAAAGUUCAUCGCGCUCUUCCUGUCUCUUUGAGCUGAUUUCGCAUUAGCUAGUUGGCUGGGUAAAGGCCCACCAAGGCAACGAUCCGUAGCCUGUCUGAGAGGAUGAUCAGCCACACUGGAACUGAGACACGGUCCAGACUCCUACGGGAGGCAGCAGUGGGGAAUAUUGGACAAUGGGCGCAAGCCUGAUCCAGCCAUACCGCGUGGGUGAAGAAGGCCUUCGGGUUGUAAAGCCCUUUUGUUGGGAAAGAAAAGAAGCAGGUUAAUACCCCGAUGUUCUGACGGUACCCAAAGAAUAAGCACCGGCUAACUUCGUG